GUCACUUUGGCGGAGUGGUUAACGCGCUGCCCUGCUAAUUAACAGUUAGCACGCUAGGCAGUUCCCUCGGGAGCGUAGGUUCGAAUCCUACAGGUGACG
Non-coding RNA from Staphylotrichum longicolle, 99 nucleotides. Lineage: Eukaryota; Fungi; Ascomycota; Sordariomycetes; Sordariales; Chaetomiaceae. The record is from the annotation of a GenBank genome assembly.